UAAGAGGUCCCGCCUGCCCUGUGACUGUAAGUUUAACGGCCGCGGUAUUUUGACCGUGCGAAGGUAGCGCAAUCACUUGUCUUUUAAAUGGAGACCUGUAUGAAUGGCACAACGAGGGCUUAACUGUCUCCUCUUUCAAGUCAAUGAAAUUGAUCUUCCCGUGCAGAAGCGGGAAUAAGUACAUAAGACGAGAAGACCCUAUGGAGCUUUAGACACAAGAUAGAUCAUGUUAAACACCCCUAAGUAAAGGGCUAAACCCGAUGAACACUAUCCCCAUGUCUUUGGUUGGGGCGACCGCGGGGAAACGAAAAACCCCCACGUGGAAAGGGGACACCUCCCUUACAACCUAGAGCUGCAGCUCUAAUGAACAGAAAUUCUGACCAGCUAGAUCCGGCAAAGCCGAUCGACGGACCGAGUUACCCUAGGGAUAACAGCGCAAUCCCCUUUUAGAGCCCAUAUCGACAAGGGGGUUUACGACCUCGAUGUUGGAUCAGGACAUCCUAAUGGUGCAGCCGCUAUUAAGGGUUCGUUUGUUCAACG
Molecule: ribosomal RNA, 540 nt
Filed under: Plectrogenium nanum
Lineage: Eukaryota; Metazoa; Chordata; Actinopteri; Perciformes; Plectrogeniidae
Description: partial 16S large subunit ribosomal RNA
Rfam family: Bacterial large subunit ribosomal RNA
Source: RNAcentral